AGAGUUUGAUCCUGGCUCAGGAUGAACGCUAGCGACAGGCUUAACACAUGCAAGUCGAGGGGCAGCGGGGGCGUAGCAAUAUGCCUGCCGGCGACCGGCGCACGGGUGAGUAACACGUAUGUAACCUGCCCUAUGCAGGGGGAUAACCCGGAGAAAUCCGGCCUAAUACCGCGUAACACCAUAGGGGAGCAUUCUCUUGAGGUUAAAGGAGAGAUCCGGCAUAGGAUGGACAUGCGUCGCAUUAGGUAGACGGCGGGGUAACGGCCCACCGUGCCGACGAUGCGUAGGGGUUCUGAGAGGAAGGCCCCCCACACUGGUACUGAGACACGGACCAGACUCCUACGGGAGGCAGCAGUGAGGAAUGUUGGUCAAUGGCCGAGAGGCUGAACCAGCCAAGUCGCGUGAGGGAAGAAUGUCCUAAGGAUUGUAAACCUCUUUUGUCGGGGAGCAAAAAGGCUCUGCGGAGUCGUAUUGAGAGUACCCGAAGAAAAAGCAUCGGCUAACUCCGUGCCAGCAGCCGCGGUAAUACGGAGGAUGCGAGCGUUAUCCGGAUUUAUUGGGUUUAAAGGGUGCGCAGGCGGCGUGUCAAGCAAGCGGUAAAAUAGCGGGGCUCAACCCCGUCGAGCCAUUUGAACUGGCGCGCUUGAGUUCAGGCGAGGUAGGCGGAAUUCGUGGUGUAGCGGUGAAAUGCAUAGAUAUCACGAAGAACUCCGAUUGCGAAGGCAGCUUACCAGUCUGCGACUGACGCUCAGGCACGAAAGUGUGGGUACCGAACAGGAUUAGAUACCCUGGUAGUCCACACAGUAAACGAUGAGCGCUAGGUGUCCGGGUCGCAUGAGACUUGGGUGCCCGAGCGAAAGCGUUAAGCGCUCCACCUGGGGAGUACGCCGGCAACGGUGAAACUCAAAGGAAUUGACGGGGGCCCGCACAAGCGGAGGAACAUGUGGUUUAAUUCGAUGAUACGCGAGGAACCUUACCCGGGCUCAAACGACUCAGGAAUAUAUUGGAAACGAUGUAGCCUGCAAUGGUCUGAGUCGAGGUGCUGCAUGGUUGUCGUCAGCUCGUGCCGUGAGGUGUCGGCUUAAGUGCCAUAACGAGCGCAACCCCUACCGCCAGUUGCCAACGGGUAAAGCCGGGAACUCUGGCGGGACUGCCGGCGAAAGCUGCGAGGAAGGCGGGGAUGACGUCAAAUCAGCACGGCCCUUACGUCCGGGGCGACACACGUGUUACAAUGGCAGGUACAGCGGGAAGCCACCUGGUGACAGGGAGCGGAACCCGAAAGCCUGUCUCAGUUCGGAUUGGAGUCUGCAACUCGACUCCAUGAAGCUGGAUUCGCUAGUAAUCGCGCAUCAGCCAUGGCGCGGUGAAUACGUUCCCGGGCCUUGCACACACCGCCCGUCA
This 1401-nucleotide ribosomal RNA is filed under the name uncultured bacterium. Its description in RNAcentral is "16S ribosomal RNA". It matches the Rfam family "Bacterial small subunit ribosomal RNA". The record is from RNAcentral.